This 477-nucleotide ribosomal RNA is filed under the name Veillonella parvula. Its description in RNAcentral is "bacterial SSU rRNA". It matches the Rfam family "Bacterial small subunit ribosomal RNA", at positions 28 to 474 of the family's 1533-position model. The record is from RNAcentral. Lineage: Bacteria; Bacillati; Bacillota; Negativicutes; Veillonellales; Veillonellaceae.
GACGAACGCUGGCGGCGUGCUUAACACAUGCAAGUCGAACGAAGAGCGAUGGAAGCUUGCUUCUAUCAAUCUUAGUGGCGAACGGGUGAGUAACGCGUAAUCAACCUGCCCUUCAGAGGGGGAUAACAGUUGGAAACGACUGCUAAUACCGCAUACGAUCUAAUCUCGGCAUCGAGGAUAGAUGAAAGGUGGCCUCUACAUGUAAGCUAUCACUGAAGGAGGGGAUUGCGUCUGAUUAGCUAGUUGGAGGGGUAACGGCCCACCAAGGCGAUGAUCAGUAGCCGGUCUGAGAGGAUGAACGGCCACAUUGGGACUGAGACACGGCCCAGACUCCUACGGGAGGCAGCAGUGGGGAAUCUUCCGCAAUGGACGAAAGUCUGACGGAGCAAUGCCGCGUGAGUGAUGACGGCCUUCGGGUUGUAAAGCUCUGUUAAUCGGGACGAAAGGCCUUCUUGCGAAUAGUGAGAAGGAUUGACG